AUGAUGAAAUUGAUUUUUCUUCCAAAAUUCAGUUCCAGAGUACAGUGAUUUGGUUUGAAACUCACAAGGUAAGUUAAUUUGAAUUAAAUAUGAUUUAAGACUAUAAAAAGGUUUGCUUUCAGAAUCAGCUGGCCAGUAAAGACAGCAUUGAUUUUAUUUAUAUUGUUUAUUCUCUACAAACUCAUUAUGCCUUUCAAGAUUUUUCCAUAUCAUUUCCUUCUUGAUGAAGUAUAACUGUCUAGCAGCAUCCAGGCCACAUGAUGACCUGGUAAAUCUCAUGGGGGUAGAAGCUCAAGGUGGAUUUAUUUGUAUAUUACGUAAGAAAUCUCAUUGAGCCAGUGGUGAUACAUCUCUAAUAUUAAGCAUGAUCUCAUGUUUGAAGAUUUGUGGGUAGAGAUCACAAAAUCAAAUAACUUCAGGAACCAAACAGUAUGGGUUGAACUUUGAGAUUAUAAGGAAGAAUAGGAAGUGUAUGUUAAUGUUUUGAGCCCAAGAAUGCAUGUCUUGUUUAAAGAUUUUUAAAGCACUGUUCUAGGCUUACAAAGCCUAGAUCUAGAGACAAGAAUAUAGGCUGACCACUAUUUUAAAAUCUCUCACUAAAAAGUCCAUUUACAAUGAGAAGAGGACUUAGAAAAAACAAAAAAAUGAUCUCCUAACCCUUCAAUUCCAGACUCUUUCUUCAGAAUGAAAUUUCUUAUCCUGGCUAGCCUUUUGAUCACUGCCACUGCUCUGCCCAUCCCUCUUGAACAACCUGGAGGAAGUUCCAGUAGUCAGAGAUUUAACGUUUACCCACCGCAAGAACCAGCAUUUUUUCCCCAGAUCCCGUUUCCCCUACCUCCGCAAUUGCCCCUGGUAAGCACAGGCUUGGGGGAUCUCA
Molecule: long non-coding RNA, 877 nt
Organism: Camelus dromedarius (Arabian camel)
Lineage: Eukaryota; Metazoa; Chordata; Mammalia; Artiodactyla; Camelidae
Exons: 3
Source: RefSeq, a predicted model, not a curated record